UUAGCAUUUUUACUCCGGUAAGUUGGUCAGCAGAACAUUUCUGUACCAUGGAAAUUAUUCCGGUACUCUAUUGUUAGGAAUUAAACAUUUAUGAGAAAUUUUGUACGAGCAUAUUAGCAAGAAUGAGCUGGUAAAAAGUACAAUAAGGGCAGAGCAGUGACAAUAUGUAGAUCUGAGAGAGAAAAUCAAAUUGGAUUCUUUUCAUCUCAGAAUGAAAGUGGACACCGGGAAACCAGCAGGAACGUGACUGAAAGGAAUUCUCUGUUUACUGGGAGAGACUACAAAGGAACAGACUCCCAGAGACCUGUGUGAGACCAAGUGCCCAGGAGGAGCAGGACUGAGCUGUUUCCUUCCCAAAGUCAUUCCACACACCUGCUCCCAAAGGCAGCUCUCUGACCAGCUUGGUGCAUCAGCCCUCAGCUACGGAAUCUAAGAUCAGUCACAGUCUUCUGUGGUGCUUUGGAUAAAAGAUUGCUUUCAGCUGCAUUUUAC
This 492-nucleotide long non-coding RNA is filed under the name Zonotrichia albicollis (white-throated sparrow). Its description in RNAcentral is "lncRNA (ENSZALG00000009947.1)". The record is from RNAcentral. Lineage: Eukaryota; Metazoa; Chordata; Aves; Passeriformes; Passerellidae.